Molecule: ribosomal RNA, 319 nt
Filed under: uncultured eukaryote
Lineage: Eukaryota
Description: partial 18S ribosomal RNA
Rfam family: Eukaryotic small subunit ribosomal RNA
Source: RNAcentral
CCCUUAGAUGUUCUGGGCAGCACGCGCGCUACAAUGGUCUUCGCAAACGGAUGCAUUCUCGAAGGAGAAUGCCAAUCUUGGAAUCUAUGCCUUGGUCGGGACAGUUGCUUGCAAUUUUUCGACUCGAACCAGGAAUUCCUUGUAAUCGUGAUUCAUCACAUCACGAUGAAUACGUCCCUGCCCUUUGUACGCACCGCCCGUCGCUCCUACCGAUCGAAGAGUUAGGUGAAUUGUUUUGAUCGAUAAGAUUUGACUAUGGUCAACUCUCGUUGUGAAAUUCUGUGAAUCUGACUGUUUAGAGGAAGGAAAAGUCGUAACA